Non-coding RNA from Empidonax traillii (willow flycatcher), 129 nucleotides. RefSeq annotates it as small Cajal body-specific RNA 4. The record is from RefSeq and is a predicted model, not a curated record. The transcript has a single exon. NCBI's taxonomy places the organism in Eukaryota, Metazoa, Chordata, Aves, Passeriformes, Tyrannidae.
ACUGGAGGACUAAAGAGGCUGAGUCUGGAGAGUGAGACUCAGGUGACAGUGGCCUCCUGACAGCAAAGGGAUGGAGAGAGCAGUCCUGCUCCCAGCAGAGCCCAGGGCUGACUGUGCCAUCUCACACUC